This is a long non-coding RNA of Felis catus (domestic cat), 2715 nucleotides long. RefSeq lists it as uncharacterized. The transcript has 3 exons. The record is from RefSeq and is a predicted model, not a curated record. NCBI's taxonomy places the organism in Eukaryota, Metazoa, Chordata, Mammalia, Carnivora, Felidae.
UUUACAGAUAAGGAAACUGAUAUUCAAAGCUUAACCAAUGACUUGUCCAAAGAGAUAAAACUUGGCUUUGAACCCUUGUCUUCAGACUCCAAAUCAAGUACUUUUUCAUCUUCAGACCAAUAAGUGCUGAAUGUGGCCCCCAAAUUGGUUCAGAGCAACCAUGGUGGACCGUGGGAGAAGAACCAACAGGAUGCAGUGGGCAUCAGUCUUCACAGACAAAUGAGGAAGAUGAGCCAGUGAGAAGGAUUUUCUUGGCUACAGGGCCAUGAAAGGCUCUCAUUGAUGCCAAAACCAAUGGGAAAUUGGUUUAAGAAUUCACCAGGACAUGUCUUUCCAGCCCCAAGGUCACUGAAGCCCCUUACACCAGUUCAGGAGCAGUUACCAUCCCUCCCUGAGGAUCUCCUGCUUCAUCCACAAGUCCUAUGGUGGAAGUUCACAGGUUUAAAAAUUUUUUUUUAAUUAUUUUUUUUAAAUGAAGGAUCAAUGAGAGCUCCAAAGAGUAUGAAAGGGACAGUUUUACUUUACCCUUGGUCCAUCAAAGGAGAAGACCUACUGUUUAAGGCUUUUGAAAGACGAGUGUGCAGGUGAAUGCCCACUCUUCUCAAUCACCACCUCUACAUACUUAGUUAUCUUUUUACAUGGUCUCUGUCGCACUUGACAGUAGGAGAGAAUCUAUUUCCCUACCACACCCUCCAGCCGUGGCUGUUUGCCUCCGCUAACCCAAUUUUUAGGUGCUUAUUUUUAGAAGAUGAAGACAAAAUUAUGAAUAAAAAAGUAGGCAAAUGAUUGGACAAGAAAAGAAUUCACAACUAAUUAUUGAAGACUUGGAGACCCAGCAUUUCUUGAGAUCUUUGUAGGCAAUUUUCCAGAAAUGCUUACAUGGAAAUGCUUCCUUAUUGCAACCUGGCUUUUCCUAACCACCUAGAACACUGCAUCUCUCAGUAACUCCCAGUGUUUGUGAGGUCCUGAUGCUGAAGUGUCCUCAGCUUCAAGGUGAGGCAUUCCAAUUCCAUCCCAGUCUUCUCAUCAGCCAGAGACAAGAGGAUGAUUCACUCUGGGUUUUUGUUGUUGUUGUUGUUGUUGUCGUUUUGCAAGGGGAUGCUCCUCACUGAUGUGAGCAUUAGCUUCUGUUAGAGACAAUAUAGUCGUCUCUCAUUUGAAGAAUGACUUCUUCCUCUUAAAGUAACUCUAAUCUUACCAGUUGUUAAUUAUAGAUCCCCAUAUUAUUGUGUUGUUUCUGGCUCUGGCUUAAAUUACAAGAGGUUGUAUUAGCUAUGUGACUCUGCCAAUACCACCCAGGUGGGAAACAUCAGCUUUUGCUUCCAAAUUUCCCUCCUAAAAGAAGGAAAUUCUAGUUUUUCCCGCCACAUGUGUCCUGCUGACUCAGACAACAAGCAUGUGGUGGGAGGAGACCAUGUUGGCAAAGGUCCUCUGCAUGCCCCAUGCACCUUAUGGACACACUGGUAACAGGAACCAGUGCAUACGUGCCUGUGUUGUCAUCAACAUGGUCUGCAUCAAGAAUGUCAGGAAUGGCUUCCAAGUUGCAUGAAUUUGUUUUGCUGUGUCUUGAACGCAGAGGGCAUUUAUCCCGGCCGGGUAAAGCCUGUAUACACCUAACAGAGGAAAUGACACAUGUUAAAAUACUUUAAAAGUAGAAUUUUUGUUGAACCGUGAUAAGCCUGGAGCUGAUGUUCUUUAAAUGACCAUCCAGAAUUCAUUCCAUACUAAACUUCUCUGGAGAAUGUAUGACGGUGAGAAAGGCUGUUAGCUUAACAAGACCAUCAAAUGGACUGACUAAUCUCUUAUUUCGCUUUCUCUCUCCAUGGAGGUUCUGCUUUGAGUCUGCUUGAGUUGAAUAAUUCUUCAGUGUUGCUCUGAAUGGUAUCUAAACAUGUCUCUUCAUGUUAGCUUUGCCCUAUUGUCUUUAAGCUUUCACUAGCUUCUCUGGAUUAUCGAAGGAGGAAGCAAAAACUAGUGCCCUACUCACAGUCUCUGGAAGCAAUAGGACAAGAAUGAGAAGGAGGUGGGGAUAAAAGGAAAACCAAACUCAAAAGAGCAGUUGGGUGUCACAGCAAAUGCUCCCAGCCUGUAGCAAGCAUCUGGUAACAUAACCUCACCUGCUCUCCUACCACAAGUGUCAAAUAAUUAGUGGAGUCCCUUGUCUUCUGUAGAGAAGCAUUUUGCUUAAUAUAUGUAAAUAGAAGACCUGCAUAAUUUAUUUUGGAAAACAAUGUACAAGAUUGAAAGUAAACCAGUAAAGCUUUCUUUUAAGAGAAACAUACAAAAAUGGAAAUGAAAAAGACCAUUUGAGCUUGCAUUCUUGAUAGAGCCUUCACCACUGUAGACAAUGUUAUGAGAGGGGCAGGUAUGGCUGGAUUUUAAUGAAAACUUCCCUUAAAUUCAUGCUCAGUUUGUGCCACACGGAGUCCUGUGUCCUUGUCACAAGAGCUCUCUCAAGAAGGUACCAUUAUUCAAAUUAAACAUGCCGUGCUGGGUCAAAUAGUGUCUCCCCAUCCCACACUCCAAACUCACACCCACCUGGUAUCUGAGAAUGAUACUUUAUUUGGAAAUGGGUAUUUGCAGAUAUAAUCAAGUUUAAAUGAGGUCAUACUGAAUUAAGGUGGACCUUAAUCCAAUGAGUGGUGUUCUAAGAAGAGGGGUACUUGGACACAGAGACAGAGAGGAGAGCGCCAUGUGAAGACAGAGGCAGAGGUU